Molecule: non-coding RNA, 136 nt
Organism: Hordeum vulgare subsp. vulgare (domesticated barley)
Lineage: Eukaryota; Viridiplantae; Streptophyta; Magnoliopsida; Poales; Poaceae
Source: Rfam
CAACUACUUCCUCCGUCCCAAAAUUCUUGUCCUAAAUUUGUUUAGAAAUGGAUGUAUGUAAAUACUAAAACGUGAUUAGAUACAUUCAUAUCUAGACAAAUUUAAAAUAAGAAUUUUGAAACGAAGGGAGUAUUAA